Molecule: ribosomal RNA, 406 nt
Filed under: uncultured beta proteobacterium
Lineage: Bacteria; Pseudomonadati; Pseudomonadota; Betaproteobacteria
Description: bacterial SSU rRNA
Rfam family: Bacterial small subunit ribosomal RNA
Source: RNAcentral
CACAGGUGCUGCAUGGCGGUCGUCAGCUCGUGUCGUGUGAUGUUGGGUUAAGUCCCGCAACGAGCGCAACCCUUGUCUGUAGUUGCUACGCAAGAGCACUCUAAAGAGACUGCCGGUGACAAACCGGAGGAAGGUGGGGAUGACGUCAAGUCCUCAUGGCCCUUAUGGGUAGGGCUUCACACGUCAUACAAUGGUACGUACAGAGGGUUGCCAACCCGCGAGGGGGAGCUAAUCUCUUAAAACGUAUCGUAGUCCGGAUUGUAGUCUGCAACUCGACUACAUGAAGCUGGAAUCGCUAGUAAUCGCGGAUCAGCAUGCCGCGGUGAAUACGUUCCCGGUCUUGUACACACCGCCCGUCACACCAUGGGAGUGGGUUUUGCCAGAAGCCGUUAGCCUAACCGCAGGA